Long non-coding RNA from Etheostoma spectabile (orangethroat darter), 540 nucleotides. RefSeq lists it as uncharacterized. The record is from RefSeq and is a predicted model, not a curated record. The transcript is spliced from 2 exons. Lineage: Eukaryota; Metazoa; Chordata; Actinopteri; Perciformes; Percidae.
UGAGUAUUUCCGCUCAAAUCAGCUGUUCUGGAACCAACAAUUCAGAGUUUUCCAUCCCAGGGUAAAUCAACUCAGAGUUCAGGGUUAGACUCAGAGUAGGAUAAACCUUCUUCCUGAAACAGACCCCUGGUCAGAAUCAGGAUAACAAACUUCUUGAAACACAUGGAAUACAGAAAAAAUGUAAGUAUAUACUGUUUGUGUUCUAGUCUCUCCAUGAUGUCCUCACACUACUUGACAUUAGUUGUAGUUAGAUAGUUGUCUUUAUCGUCUGCUGACACAGCAGAGACUCCAAAUCCCAAAAUGGCCUCCCAGCUCAGGGCCGUUUGGUCUGGGGAAGUUUAGUCACGUACGUGCAGUGCAACAGGUUGAGGCUGUCUGCUGCAAUGUGAGCACAGGAAACAGUUCUCUGUUACCAAGAAGAAGGAAGUCUUCAGGUAUUGUCACAUUUGCGUUGACGCCACACUUUACAUCACCGCACACUAUUGAGCCAAGCCGCACUGGUAGCGGUGAAGAUGUUUUUUUACCUGAAAAUUAAAAAAA